UGGGGAAUAUUGCACAAUGGGGGAAACCCUGAUGCAGCGACGCCGCGUGAAGGAAGAAGUAUUUCGGUAUGUAAACUUCUAUCAGCAGGGAAGAAACUGACGGUACCUGACUAAGAAGCACCGGCUAAAUACGUGCCAGCAGCCGCGGUAAUACGUAUGGUGCAAGCGUUAUCCGGAUUUACUGGGUGUAAAGGGAGCGUAGACGGAGAGGCAAGUCUGAAGUGAAAGCCCGGGGCUCAACCCCGGGACUGCUUUGGAAACUGCAGUUCUAGAGUGCCGGAGAGGUAAGCGGAAUUCCUAGUGUAGCGGUGAAAUGCGUAGAUAUUAGGAGGAACACCAGUGGCGAAGGCGGCUUACUGGACGGUGACUGACGUUGAGGCUCGAAAGCGUGGGGAGCAAACAGG
Molecule: ribosomal RNA, 404 nt
Filed under: uncultured Lachnospiraceae bacterium
Lineage: Bacteria; Bacillati; Bacillota; Clostridia; Lachnospirales; Lachnospiraceae
Description: bacterial SSU rRNA
Rfam family: Bacterial small subunit ribosomal RNA
Source: RNAcentral